RNAcentral lists this ribosomal RNA (253 nucleotides) under uncultured bacterium. Its description in RNAcentral is "partial 16S ribosomal RNA". It matches the Rfam family "Bacterial small subunit ribosomal RNA", at positions 524 to 776 of the family's 1533-position model. The record is from RNAcentral.
UACGUAGGUGACAAGCGUUGUCCGGAUUUACUGGGCGUAAAGAGCGCGCAGGCGGUCGUUCAAGUCGAGUGUGAAAGCCCCCGGCUCAACUGGGGAGGGUCAUUCGAUACUGAUCGACUCGAAGGCAGGAGAGGGUAGUGGAAUUCCCGGUGUAGUGGUGAAAUGCGUAGAUAUCGGGAGGAACACCAGUGGCGAAGGCGACUACCUGGCCUGUUCUUGACGCUGAGGCACGAAGGCCAGGGGAGCAAACGGG